RNAcentral lists this unclassified non-coding RNA (200 nucleotides) under Stropharia aeruginosa. RNAcentral's name for it is "partial internal transcribed spacer 2". The record is from RNAcentral. Lineage: Eukaryota; Fungi; Basidiomycota; Agaricomycetes; Agaricales; Strophariaceae.
AAUUCUCAACCUUUAUCAGUUUUACUGGUAAAUGGCUUGGAUGUGGGAGUUGCUGGUUUCAUCUUUUUGAAAUCAGCUCUUCUGAAAUGCAUUAGCUGGUUGCCUUGUGCAAACAUGUCUAUUGGUGUGAUAAUUAUCUACGCCGUGGACUUGCAUGAAUGAGCACUGCUUAUAAUCGUCUGUAAAGACAAUUUAUGACA